Molecule: ribosomal RNA, 335 nt
Filed under: uncultured bacterium
Lineage: Bacteria
Description: bacterial SSU rRNA
Rfam family: Bacterial small subunit ribosomal RNA
Source: RNAcentral
ACAGAUCGUUCAGAGUUUGAUCCUGGCUCAGAUUGAACGCUGGCGGCAGGCCUAACACAUGCAAGUCGAGCGGAUGAGUGGAGCUUGCUCCAUGAUUCAGCGGCGGACGGGUGAGUAAUGCCUAGGAAUCUGCCUGGUAGUGGGGGACAACGUUUCGAAAGGAACGCUAAUACCGCAUACGUCCUACGGGAGAAAGCAGGGGACCUUCGGGCCUUGCGCUAUCAGAUGAGCCUAGGUCGGAUUAGCUAGUUGGUGAGGUAAAGGCUCACCAAGGCGACGAUCCGUAACUGGUCUGAGAGGAUGAUCAGUCACACUGGAACUGAGACACGGUCCAG